CUAUACCAAUGCAACUGCAUCCACAGUAGGGGGUGUCAUUGGUAUAACUAGGCUUGGAAGGAUUACAUUUUUACUGGUAAAUAGCAAUAACUGUGAAUGUCACUGUACACACAGCAAGCCAAAGGAAAACAUUUCCAUCAAUAAUCGUUUUACAAAUAGGCAACGUAAGAAAAAUGCUGCUUUAGAAACUGAUUUAAGGAUAUUCCCGUUAUACAUUUUCACACGUGAUGUUGACAAAUUGUGAUUUAACAGUUAGAAAGCUUUCACUUUGGAAAUCAACACCAACCGUCAGUCAAUAUGUCAGCCCCGCUCUGCCCGUAAUUUCCCACCACGCAGAGAACCAAAGGACCAGCCAGUUAUGUGCUGAUGGCCCAUUAAAAGGAAUCCACUCUCCCAACAGCCAUCCCAAAAACUUCUCAGAGUGCGCAGGCAUAGGCAACGGAGACUGCUUGACUAAUGCGGACUGCCCCUAACCCCCAUGUUACAGGAAGGAUCUUCACAGCUGGAAGAAAAUAUAAGAGAAGGGCAGUGAUGUCAUCACUUGGCCUGUUUCCCCCUCCCUCCUCCAACUCAACACCUGGAGAACAAAGACUUUGAAGUAGGGAAGGGUGGUCCCAAGCUGGAAAUGGAGUCCAGUUUGUGUAUUGAGAAUUUAUAACCUGCUCAUACCAUCUGUCAGGGUGAGACAUUGUUUGAUUCAAAUCCUGCUUAGUUUGUAGAACUUAGACAGCAAAUUUAUUUUUGUUUUUUAAAAUUACCAACUCUGAUCUCUAUGGCUGCUAUUUAUAAUAACUACAGAAAAAUAAAUUUGAAGUGAAUAAACCUAUUUUAUGUUUUACCUAAAA
Molecule: long non-coding RNA, 845 nt
Organism: Gopherus flavomarginatus (Mexican gopher tortoise)
Lineage: Eukaryota; Metazoa; Chordata; Testudines; Testudinidae
Exons: 2
Source: RefSeq, a predicted model, not a curated record